Molecule: ribosomal RNA, 319 nt
Filed under: Oryctolagus cuniculus (rabbit)
Lineage: Eukaryota; Metazoa; Chordata; Mammalia; Lagomorpha; Leporidae
Description: partial 12S ribosomal RNA
Rfam family: Bacterial small subunit ribosomal RNA
Source: RNAcentral
AUAAUUUCAUAACAAAAUUAUUCGCCAGAGAACUACAAGCCAAAGCUUAAAACUCAAAGGACUUGGCGGUGCUUUAUACCCACCUAGAGGAGCCUGUUCCGUAAUCGAUAAACCCCGAUAAACCCUACCACUCUUUGCCAACUCAGCCUAUAUACCGCCAUCUUCAGCGAACCCUAAAAAGGAGCAAAAGUAAGCUCAAUUACCACCGUAAAAACGUUAGGUCAAGGUGUAGCCCAUAGAGUGGAGAGCAAUGGGCUACAUUUUCUACUUCAGAAUAUACGAAAGCCCUUAUGAAACUCUAAGGGCCAAAGGAGGAUUU